Molecule: long non-coding RNA, 501 nt
Organism: Rhinopithecus roxellana (golden snub-nosed monkey)
Lineage: Eukaryota; Metazoa; Chordata; Mammalia; Primates; Cercopithecidae
Exons: 3
Source: RefSeq, a predicted model, not a curated record
AGUUGUUACCUUGACAGCAGGAGUGCAGCAUGCGAGCAUCUCUGCUGGUCCCCAUGUGAUCUGUCACUGUGACGCUAUGUGUUUGUACAUGUGCAAGACUCCAGAAGGUAGACUACCCACGAGUGUCCCAUAUACCCUCUCCUAGAGGCAGGGCUGGGCCUACUGGGGUCAGCGUGCACUGUGUCUUUGCUGUUCCUCUGACGUCAACUGAUGGGACCCCUUAAGCCAGAGGCAGAUCUCUCAGGGAAUACAGCAUGAUUCCUGAUAUGGGCAAAGUGCUGGAUACCCACAAUUGUGUUAUAAUUUCCUCUGGCUAUAUACCUGAGCACCGAUGCUUGACCUUUUAGAAAUAAUCUCCAAAGUAAAUGGGAUGGACUCAGGAGAUGUGAAGGACAAUCCAUUGUCCUAGGCAAGAGUGUAGCCAAACUUUUAAUUCCUAUUUCCACACUAUGUAAAUAAUUAUAUAUGUUUUAACUAAAAAGGAAGAAAAGUUAAACUUUG